AAAUUGAAGAGUUUGAUCAUGGCUCAGAUUGAACGCUGGCGGCAGGCCUAACACAUGCAAGUCGAGCGGUAACACAGAGAGCUUGCUCUCGGGUGACGAGCGGCGGACGGGUGAGUAAUGUCUGGGAAACUGCCUGAUGGAGGGGGAUAACUACUGGAAACGGUAGCUAAUACCGCAUAACGUCGCAAGACCAAAGUGGGGGACCUUCGGGCCUCAUGCCAUCAGAUGUGCCCAGAUGGGAUUAGCUAGUAGGUGGGGUAAUGGCUCACCUAGGCGACGAUCCCUAGCUGGUCUGAGAGGAUGACCAGCCACACUGGAACUGAGACACGGUCCAGACUCCUACGGGAGGCAGCAGUGGGGAAUAUUGCACAAUGGGCGCAAGCCUGAUGCAGCCAUGCCGCGUGUAUGAAGAAGGCCUUCGGGUUGUAAAGUACUUUCAGCGAGGAGGAAGGC
This 453-nucleotide ribosomal RNA is filed under the name Klebsiella aerogenes. RNAcentral's name for it is "bacterial SSU rRNA". It matches the Rfam family "Bacterial small subunit ribosomal RNA", at positions 1 to 452 of the family's 1533-position model. RNAcentral also lists the same sequence under 2 other names. The record is from RNAcentral. Lineage: Bacteria; Pseudomonadati; Pseudomonadota; Gammaproteobacteria; Enterobacterales; Enterobacteriaceae.